UGAAAAUGAGGUUUUUUUCAGUCAUAAUAAUAAUAAUUACCUAAUACAGCAGUAUAUGCAUGACCUAAUGUGUAUGAAAUUUGGAGCAGCUUACUAAAGAAGAUUGAAAUAGGUUUGAUUAGUCUAUGACAGUUGGGUUAUAGAGUGGAUGACUUUGUAUUUUGCAUAAAUUUGCAUUAUUUGAACUUUUCUCUCCGGUCUCCCACUAUGCAUUUUGCCAGGUAAAUAUAUUAACCUCAUUUUUGUUUUUUUUUUUAUGUACUUACUAAUUGUUGUUCAACUUUAUUCCUUUCUUCGAAGAAAAAUCUAUUGCAGUGGAGCCAAAUAUAUAUAUUUUUAUCUAAACUCUGUAUGUAUUUAGAUGCAUAUGUAUGUCAUGCAGAAAUUCCAGGAUUAAAUUCUGUGAGUUACAGCAUCAGAUGGUAGCACUGGUAGCAAGUCUAAUGUUCCUUUUCAGAUAUCAUUCUUAAAGUCUUUAUAAUGAAAUUGGGCUCAGACUGUGACAUAAUCCAGAAAUGUAAGAUCCCCCAUGACAUACUUGUCACUUUGUCACUGAUUUUUUUCCAACUUGAAAGGAGGAACCUUAAAAGAAAAAAAAACCUCAACAUUUUUUAAUCCAUUACAAUUUUUACAAGGCUUUCUUAUGCAGUAGCUGCUGUAGUUAAGUGUGUGGUAACCCUUUGAAUGUGGGGGGGGAGGUUUAGGCCAUUAAAUCCAAUUGCAUUUUAGGCUUCUAUGUUGUCAUAGAAAAACUCAAGCUGUAGAAAUGCAUCCAUUUUAAUUUUUUUUUUUAAUUUAUUCUUUUCCCCUAAUUAUGUUCAGUUUUGAUGUGAAAUAGUAAGAAAUCAGAUUUCUUAUUCUGAGGUAACUUUUGUACUGACUGAAACUGGUAGUGGAACUUCUGCUUCUGCAGAAGAGAUUUAGGACUCCUUUGAAUCAAAAUGGGAGUCCUGUUAGGCGCAAAUUUACCUGGGAAAGUCAAGAUAUCACAAACACGGAUGUCGCAAACAAGCUGGUGCCUGAGCCAAAUGCUGCUGAAAUCAAAGAGGUGUCUGCCAUUAGGUAGGAGCAAAGAAGAGCUGGUGCUGGUUUGAAAAGUCUUGAGAGGAUUAGCUGUGGGAAAGCCAACGUGGAAUGCUGGGCCCUGGCUGUUGGUGUUCUGAGGGCUGCUAGCUGGUGACUUGGUUCAGGCUUCCACACUGGGUCAGUACCAGUUCAGCUGUGGUUAUUGUUGAGAAAUGGGACUACACCAGUGGGAAGGGCAGUGCGAGGCUUUCAGAUAAUUCCUCAUUCACACCAAAGCCCUUUGAUGUUCAUCUGGGCUUAGUGCAGGUCUGAUUUAGUGGCUGUUACGGUGCGUUAGUAAUAUGGAAUUACUUUUUAUGGCCAAUUCUAUUUAUUUCACUGUAGUUUAAUUGCAUAUGUGCAUAACAAUCAAGAACUAAUUGGAGUUAUGGUAAUUUAUAGUGUAGUAGUCAGGCUGUUUUCAAAGCCCUACUAAUCAGUAAUUGUGUGAAGUCGUAGGUUGUUCGGUUGGGCUCACUUCAGUGCGCGGGUCACACUUUACUGUCACAGCAAGGAAGGAUUUCUUUGAAGCUCUUGCAGGCUUCUACAGGGGGAUUUCAUCUGUCAGGACCAUAGAUCUUGCCUGUGAUAAUGAUUUUUGCAAGCAAACGAGACGAUGUUGCCAGUUUGACA
RNAcentral lists this long non-coding RNA (1698 nucleotides) under Gallus gallus (chicken). RNAcentral's name for it is "long non-coding RNA NONGGAT008465". Lineage: Eukaryota; Metazoa; Chordata; Aves; Galliformes; Phasianidae. The record is from RNAcentral.